RNAcentral lists this long non-coding RNA (549 nucleotides) under Olea europaea subsp. europaea. It matches the Rfam family "Bacterial large subunit ribosomal RNA", at positions 1826 to 2209 of the family's 2925-position model. Lineage: Eukaryota; Viridiplantae; Streptophyta; Magnoliopsida; Lamiales; Oleaceae. The record is from RNAcentral.
CUAUGUGUUGAAUAAAUUCAAUCUUUCUCGAUAAAGUCGAUUGAUUAGGGUAAAAUUGUAUUCCUUAGGAACCGUACAUGCACCUUUUGACGUAUACGGUUCAAGUUGGUAACCUGAUGACAGGGGAGCUGGUGAUCGAAGCCCCAGUGAACGGUGGCCAUAACUAUAACAAUCCUAAAGUAGCGAAAUUUCUUGUCGGGUAAGUUCUACCCACAUGAAAGGCGUAACGAUCUGGACACUGUCUCGAAGAGAGGCUCGAUGAAAUAGAUAUGUCUGUGAAGAUGCGGACUAGCUACACUUGGAUAGAAAGAUCCUAUGAAGCUUCACUGUUCCCUGAGAUUGGGUUUGGGCCUUUCCUGCGCAGCUUAGAUGGAAGGCGACUUUAAUCAUUUAUGAUGAUCUCUCCAAACAAGCCCAAGCUUAUCGGCAAAUGUCUCUUCUAUUACGAAGACAGCCUGGUCGUGAAGCUUGGAAAGAGCCGCUUAAUCAAGUUCUAGUUUAGGUGAAGGAAGUAUGAGCGCUUUACCAAUAGUUGAAACUCAAUUAGGA